CCCCUUUUCUCUUCAUCUCCACAAGCCCUCGUUGGGAGCCUCUCUAGUAGCCGGCUUGCAGCUCCCCCAAAGAUCGAGCCUGUGCGCCCGAGGCCACCUCCCGGCGCUGCCUCGCCCUACCUCCUCCAAUCGCAUCGGCAAAGGAGCUCCUCUGCCCCAGGCCAGCCAGCGCCCCUCUCCUCCUCUCCUCUCUCGGCUUUCCCUUCUCCUUCUAUCUAAUCUCUCUCUCUCUCCUUUUCGAAAAAAUCUAAUCUCCCUCUCACGCGUUUUCUCCGAGAGCCGCCAUGGAACAACCGCAGCACCCACCUUGGAGAUCGCCGCCUCCGGCUACCUCUCCAUCUUGGUCCGGAUCUGUUCCAUCCCGCUGCCAGAGCAGCUGGAUCCGCCUCGGCCCAGCUCGCCCGUGAAGCCGUUGUCCCGUCUCUCCUCUCUGCCUUACUGUGCAGGCCACCGCCAUCGCUGGCGGGCGUUGAUACAUCAUUUGGUCGUUGGUGUACCUCUCUUUGGUUCCUUCCUUCCUCGCUGAUACCCAGCAGGCUACCUCCGGCCACCUCUCCAUCUCGAUCCGGAUCUGCUCCGUCCAGCCGUCGGAGCAGCCAGAUCCGCCUCCGGCCUAUUCUUCUUUGUAUCUCAUGGGAAGGAGAAGGAGGCGCAGGCACCAUGGAAGGUGCGAGCUCGCGUCGCGUGCAAGCAGGGAUGUGAUGGCGCGAAGUGGCUGCGGAGGAGGAGGGCGACGCGAGGGAUAUGGACAGAGGAGACGGAGCUGGCUGCGGCUGGAGUAGCGACACUCCGUGCGAUGGCCAGUUAUUUUUUUAACAAAACGGUCCGGAUCAACUAAAAUAAAAUAGGCACUGCAGGUUAAUUUUAGAAAACUGUAGGGACUAUUUAAAAAAGGCGUGACGGUGAACCCAGAGACUCAAUCCGUGCUUUAUUAUUAGGGAGAGAUAAGAAACCUAAUGUGGUUCUAAUCUUCUCCCUCUAAUUCUCCAACGACGAUUAGUUUUGCAUGGCGAAGCGCUGCCGGAUUGUGAAGGUUGCACGCUUGCAACCAAGUAGAGAGGUCGUGCUUUUGGUCUUUGGUUCGAGGGACUGUUCAUGGGCGGUACGAGGGAUCAUUCAUCGGCGGUUUGAGGGACUUCAAGUACGAUCUACACCGACAUGUUCUUCCCUCGCUGCAACUCGGUGACGGUAACGAUGGAUGCAAGAUGGAAGAAGUGGCCAGAAAGGGACAAGAGGGAAUGAAACUUCUUGCUGAACUUGCAAAGGAGGCUGCUAUCAUGGGAAACCUAGGUCUAUAAGUCUAUGAGGAGUUUGAUAUUUACACACAAAGUCGACCCCUAAAAAUGAAGUUCUUCGACUGAAGACUU
This is a long non-coding RNA of Triticum aestivum (bread wheat), 1367 nucleotides long. RefSeq lists it as uncharacterized. The transcript has 3 exons. Lineage: Eukaryota; Viridiplantae; Streptophyta; Magnoliopsida; Poales; Poaceae. The record is from RefSeq and is a predicted model, not a curated record.